Molecule: long non-coding RNA, 3043 nt
Organism: Leopardus geoffroyi (Geoffroy's cat)
Lineage: Eukaryota; Metazoa; Chordata; Mammalia; Carnivora; Felidae
Exons: 3
Source: RefSeq, a predicted model, not a curated record
GCCGUGAGGACUGUGGUCUGCGAUGGGCAGCUCGGGCAAGAAGGCAGGAUGUGUCCACGCUCACCCACGCCCACAUCCGGGUGUCAGGAAGCAGCUGCCCCCGUCCGGCAAGGCAGGUGGCCACCCCCCCCCCCACCAGCCGCACUGCCACCUGUGCUCCGUCCUCUCCCCCUGCCACUCGCCAGCACCCGCCGGGCAGUGUGGGACUCCACUCCGGUCCAGGACAGGGCCUCCAGGCCUAAGAGAGUGGCCCUGCCCUCGGGGCACCAGGCCAGGACGACGGGCGGUUCUGCCACUGCCCGCACGCGGGCCGCAGGAAGCAAAUGCGGGGCAAGCACCACGGUGGGCAGGUGGCAGGUGAGAACCCCAGUUGCGAAGUAGCAUGGGGCCAGGGGCUCCCCAGUAUGUUCUGACCCGGCCCCCAUCAGGCCAGAAUCACAGCCACACGUCCCCCUGAGGGGGGCCCUGCCCCUCAUCUCUCAGCCAUGAAGGCAAAUGACCGUCACACCAACGAGGUGAUCCAAGGAAGCGUGUUCCAGCCCCCGGCACACGGUCAGCACUGGCAAGUGUUCCUCGGGCACGAACUCCACCGAGAGAACGGGGGUGUCUGACCGUCUGCGUCAACACGCAGGGCCGGGCAGUUUCCCAGUACGUGGAAACCCUCCCGUGAAACUCCUAUGACGGCUUCACGGUUUCAAGAAAAAGGCAGGAACUUAGCACCCGCCCCCGCCCCUGCCCACCUGUCAGGACGGGACACUCUGGCCGGGAGGCCUGGCCACAAGGAGCCUCCCCUCACCCGCAGCGCAGGUGCCUGCCCUCUGCUUUGUGCCAGGACCUCUGCGGCACCCGUGCCCAUCAGCCCUUCCCACGGGCCACCCUCCGGCUCUGGGGUCAGCAGGACCCAGCCCAGUCUGUGGCCUCAGUCCAGGAGCAGGCCCUCGCCACCGCGGGCAAAAUGGACUCCUCACUCAGUCUGCACCCUAGGUGACCUGGAAUCGGUGACCCCGGGCACGCACAGUCACCCUGGCCGCCUCUCUGCCCUAGCACUGGGUAUCUGCCCGUCUGCUCGCCACUUGUCUCCCCACCGGAACACCGGCCCCACGGACAGGGCCUGGACUCCUCCUGUCCUGCACCACAUGCCCAGCACCCAGCAGGGCUCCCCACAGGAAGCACUGAAUAAAUAUGUACGAAGGACCCGUGGGGGGUGACCUUGGGGCACAAGGAAGAUCGUGUCCGUGCUGCAUCUAACCACCGAUACAACGGGGAUCUACUGGUACCUACCCAGGUUUUGGGGAGCAUUCAGAAAUCCCCGUGUGAAAACCCCUGUGAACCGUCAGGUCUGUGUGUGACGUGUACAAUCGCAAAACAGGCGGAAAGGCAGGGAGGGAACUUCGGCACACAUCGCACUUCUCCCCCCUCCAGCUUCAGCCAAGGGCUCUUGGACCCAGACUAAUAGUUCUCCAGCCCUCCAGCUGUCCUUCCAGGAAGGACAUCUGCCCCCAAUUAGAUGGAAACGCCAGUGGAAGAUGCCCAAGUCCCAAGGGACGCAGCUACGGAACACUCACUUGGUGCCGGCUGGGCACCAGGAUCACCCGUCCCGGCCUCUGAACGCACAGGCACCUGCCCCCUUCCCUGCCAGGACUCUCAGAACCAGGCCUUCAUCUCUGACUCCACCUGCCUGUGCCAGCAGAACUUGGCCUUGCAGGGAGGGCGGGGCAGCUUCAGGCUGCACCCUCCUCCUCCGUGCAGGACGCGUGCCCCGGGCCCAGAGAAAGAGCCAAGACGCGGACCCUGCGUCCUCCUGAUGGAGCCGCUGGCCCCUGUUCUUUGUGAGCAGCCCGUCUAGUCCCACGAAGCUGUCCUCUGCACACGUGGGUCCCGUCAGGGCACCGUGCCCACAUCUGCUCUGCUUCCUCUCCAUGACCUCGGCCCCCCUGCGUCACCCAGCCCUGGACCAGGCUCUCCCCUGCAUCCCAGAGUCACUCUUCAGCCUUAUGUCACGUGGGUGUCCUCUCCAUCCCCAGCACCCUGCCGAGUCUCUUCCCAGGCUCCCUGCAGCAGCCUGCUGGGCCAUCCCGCCAACCCUCCGGCCUCCCUGGGCCACUGAGUGUGAGUGGCCGUCCUGUCACUCCCCACCCUCCUCCACUCCGGGGGCCUCUGCCUGGCACCAGAGGUGGUGCACAGAUUGGCCACAGCUGACUCAUCCCCCGCUGCCUCCAGGCCGACCCUGCCUGCGUUCUGCCAUCAACCGUGUUUGCCGCUCCCUUAGCCCACCUGGUCCGGCCCGGCCGGCCUCCGGAGUCUGCUGAUGGCUCAUACACUAACUCAGAAUACAACCAAUUCCACGCGUCUUUUGAGGAGGGCAGGGAGCUUCCCAAAGGUGGGGGUCUCUACCCGAUGGGCCCCGGCUGUGCGGCACCCGGAAUACCAGCGGCAGCCACCGCACGUGGCACGCACAAAAUGCAUACCUGCCGGCCGGGGGAGGGCCGCAGGGUCAGAGCACUGCGCAAGGGCGACACGCCGGGAAGCGGGAGGUCUGUUGAGCCUGCUGCCCCGUGUGAGCCUUCUGCGUCCCUCACGGCCGCGAGACCCAAAGCAAAGCCACCCGGUGACGCGACAGACCAAGCCUGUCCGUGCACGUGCUCAGCACGGGCUUCUCCGGCUUUGAUUUCGGCAACACCGGCCCCUGGAAAUGGCUUUCUGGAACAAGGCCGCGUCGCAUCAGCAGAGCAGGCAUUUCCACCAGCGUGGAGAGCUGGCCAAGCAGGCACCGGAGGGACAAGGACAGGCACGGGCGGGAGGUGGGGCGUGCCCAGCUCUGCUCCCCUUCCCUCUGGGCCUCUGCGCACGCCGCCGCCCCCCCCCCCACCCCCAGCGGAGGUCCGUUCCCAGAAGCUGCCUUGUUUACAGCUCCACCCUGCCUUCUCCCCCUGCCCCUCUGCCUCCCUCCCCUGCUCCCUUCCACAGGGGCCCCAUCGCAGGCCACCCGAGGCCAGAGCAGGGCUGUGUCCCUCGGAGAAGGCACAGGGUAGGGGGUGGAGGG